Parascedosporium putredinis is the source of this 92-nucleotide non-coding RNA. The record is from the annotation of a GenBank genome assembly. NCBI's taxonomy places the organism in Eukaryota, Fungi, Ascomycota, Sordariomycetes, Microascales, Microascaceae.
AGGCUCAUGGCGUAGUGGCUAUCGCGUCCGUCUCACAGUGUACAGCACUGUCAGAACACGGAAGGUCCUGGGUUCGAUCCCCAGUGGGCCUA